Long non-coding RNA from Nannospalax galili (Upper Galilee mountains blind mole rat), 323 nucleotides. RefSeq lists it as uncharacterized. The transcript is spliced from 3 exons. Lineage: Eukaryota; Metazoa; Chordata; Mammalia; Rodentia; Spalacidae. The record is from RefSeq and is a predicted model, not a curated record.
CCUAGAAAGCCCCCUUUUCAUCUGACCAGAAGACGCUGGAGUGAGUUUCCUGUCAGAGUUCAAGUUCACUUUAAGGACAGCCAGAACAAGCGGAUAGAUAUCAUACAUAAUCUGAAGCUGGAUAGAACUUACACUGGUUUGCAGACGCUGGGUGCAGAGACGGUAGUGGAUGUUGAACUUCAUCGGCAUUCUCUUGGAGAAGACUACAUUUAUCCUGAGUCAGACAUCUCUGAUGCUCCUGCAUCAUUGACUGUUCCAGCCCCAGAGAAGGCUUCUUCACCAAUAGCACAGUCCCUCGAGCCUCUGUCCGAUGCCUCUGUGGG